This 449-nucleotide ribosomal RNA is filed under the name uncultured bacterium. RNAcentral describes it as "partial 16S ribosomal RNA". It matches the Rfam family "Bacterial small subunit ribosomal RNA", at positions 29 to 523 of the family's 1533-position model. The record is from RNAcentral.
AACGAACGCUGGCGGCAUGCCUAACACAUGCAAGUCGAACGAGAUCUUCGGGUCUAGUGGCGCACGGGUGCGUAACGCGUGGGAAUCUGCCCUUUGGUUCGGAAUAACAGUUGGAAACGACUGCUAAUACCGGAUGAUGACGAAAGUCCAAAGAUUUAUCGCCAGAGGAUUAGCCCGCGUAGGAUUACGUAGUUGGUGUGGUAAAGGCGCACCAAGGCGACGAUCCUUAGUUGGUCUGAGAGGAGGCUCAGCCACACUGGGACUGAGACACGGCCCAGACUCCUACGGGAGGCAGCAGUGGGGAAUAUUGGACAAUGGGCGAAAGCCUGAUCCAGCAAUGCCGCGUGAGUGAUGAAGGCCUUAGGGUUGUAAAGCUCUUUUACCCGGGAUGAUAAUGACAGUACCGGGAGAAUAAGCUCCGGCUAACUCCGUGCCAGCAGCCGCCGUAA